Molecule: ribosomal RNA, 254 nt
Filed under: uncultured bacterium
Lineage: Bacteria
Description: partial 16S ribosomal RNA
Rfam family: Bacterial small subunit ribosomal RNA
Source: RNAcentral
UACGUAGGGGGCGAGCGUUGUCCGGAGUUAUUGGGCGUAAAGAGCUCGUAGGCGGUUUGGCAAGUGGGGUGUGAAAACUCCGGGCUCAACUCGGAGACGCCACUCGAUACUGCCAUGACUUGAGUCCGGUAGGGGAGUGCGGAAUUCCUGGUGUAGCGGUGAAAUGCGCAGAUAUCAGGAGGAACACCGGUGGCGAAGGCGGCACUCUGGGCCGGUACUGACGCUGAGGAGCGAAAGCGUGGGGAGCGAACAGG